This 570-nucleotide long non-coding RNA is filed under the name Phoenix dactylifera (date palm). RNAcentral describes it as "long non-coding RNA (PDAC_LNC009305)". The record is from RNAcentral. Lineage: Eukaryota; Viridiplantae; Streptophyta; Magnoliopsida; Arecales; Arecaceae.
GUAAUCUGAGGGAUUAUAGUAAAAUUCCCAAGAGGCCUUGGGGAGUGGAUGUAGGUGCUGGGGUGCACCGAACCACUAUAUAUCUUUGUAUUUGUGAUGCCUUAUCUCUUGUAUUUCAUGCCUUACAUUCAUGCUUGAUUGUGUAAUAUCUCUAGCUUUGUUUUCUAUAGAGUUGUAAGUGAUUGUUUAGAAUUUGCUUAGCUUCCACUCCAUUCUUACCAUACACAUAGAUUAAAAUUGAUCAUACAACUAUAAGUUAAUUUUAGAUCAAUUGCACUCUAAAGCCAUAGUAUAAUUGCUCUAGCUUAAUUUUCCACUGCUUUACUUGUAAUUGCCUAGAGCUUAAGUAAAUAACAUCUUAUCAUUCCGCUGCAUUCUAUUCAAAGUAAAAAUUAGAAAACAUAAUUUUUAGAAAACCCAAUUCAUCCCCCCCCUCUUGGGUUGUCACCUUGGGCAACAAGUGGUAUCAGAGCAGGUGCUCUUCUAUUAAUUAUAGUCUUAACUGACUAGAGCUAAAGAUUAUGACAACCCCACAUAACAUAUUAUUUGCCGAGGGACUUUCCAUAAACA